AGUCAGUGGUGAAAGUUUGUGGCUCAACCAUAAAAUUGCCAUUGAUACUGUUGUUCCUGAGUUAUUGUGAAGUGGUUAGAAUGUGUAAUGUAGCGGUGAAAUGCAUAGAUAUUACACAGAACACCAAUUGCGAAGGCAUAUCACUAACAAUAUACUGACGCUGAUGAACGAAAGCGUAGGUAGCCAACAGGAUUAGAUACCCUGGUAGUCUACGCUGUAAACUAUGGUUACUAGCUGUUCGGAGCACAUUAGUGCAUUGAGUGGUUAAGCGAAAGUGAUAAGUAACCCACCUGGGGAGUACGUUUGCAAGAAUGAAACUCAAAGGAAUUGACGGGGGCCCGCACAAGCGGUGGAGCAUGUGGUUUAAUUCGACGAUACGCGAGGAACCUUACCAAGGCUUAAAUGCAUAUUGACAGUUCACGAAAGUGAAUUUUCUUCGGACAAUUUGCAAGGUGCUGCAUGGUUGUCGUCAGCUCGUGCCGUGAGGUGUCAGGUUAAGUCCUAUAACGAGCGCAACCCCUGUGGUUAGUUACCAGCAUGUAAAGAUGGGGACUCUAGCCAGACUGCCGGUGCAAACCGUGAGGAAGGUGGGGAUGACGUCAAAUCAUCACGGCCCUUACGCCUUGGGCUACACACGUGCUACAAUGGUAUAUACAAUGAGCAGCCAUCUGGUGACAGAGCGCUAAUCUAAAAAGUAUAUCACAGUUCGAAUCGGAGUCUGCAACUCGACUCUGUGAAGCUGGAAUCGCUAGUAAUCGCACAUCGGCCAUGGUGCGGUGAAUACGUUCCCGGGCCUUGUACACACCGCCCGUCAAGCCAUGGAAGCUGGGAGUGCCUGAAGUCCGUAGCCGAAAGGAGCGGCCUAGGGUAAAACUAGUAACUGGGGCUAAGUCGUAACAAGGUA
Molecule: ribosomal RNA, 904 nt
Filed under: uncultured bacterium
Lineage: Bacteria
Description: bacterial SSU rRNA
Rfam family: Bacterial small subunit ribosomal RNA
Source: RNAcentral